Molecule: ribosomal RNA, 849 nt
Filed under: uncultured bacterium
Lineage: Bacteria
Description: SSU rRNA
Rfam family: Bacterial small subunit ribosomal RNA
Source: RNAcentral
UACGUAGGUGGCAAGCGUUGUCCGGAAUUACUGGGUGUAAAGGGAGCGCAGGCGGAACUGCAAGUUGGGUGUUUAAUCUACGGGCUCAACCCGUAUCAGCAUUCAAAACUGUGGUUCUUGAGUAAUGCAGAGGUAGGCGGAAUUCCCGGUGUAGCGGUGGAAUGCGUAGAUAUCGGGAGGAACACCAGUGGCGAAGGCGGCCUACUGGGCAUCAACUGACGCUGAGGCUCGAAAGCAUGGGUAGCAAACAGGAUUAGAUACCCUGGUAGUCCAUGCUGUAAACGAUGAUUACUAGGUGUGGGAAGAUUGACCCUUUCCGUGCCGCAGUUAACACAAUAAGUAAUCCACCUGGGGAGUACGACCGCAAGGUUGAAACUCAAAGGAAUUGACGGGGGCCCGCACAAGCAGUGGAGUAUGUGGUUUAAUUCGAAGCAACGCGAAGAACCUUACCAGGUCUUGACAUCCAACGACCGCCUAAGAGAUUAGGCUUUCCUUCGGGACGUUGAGACAGGUGGUGCAUGGUUGUCGUCAGCUCGUGUCGUGAGAUGUUGGGUUAAGUCCCGCAACGAGCGCAACCCUUAUUACUAGUUACUACGCAAGAGGACUCUAGUGAGACUGCCGUUGACAAAACGGAGGAAGGUGGGGAUGACGUCAAAUCAUCAUGCCCUUUAUGACCUGGGCUACACACGUACUACAAUGGCUAUUAACAGAGAGAAGCGAGACCGCAAGGUGGAGCAAGCCUCAGAAAAAUAGUCUCAGUUCGGAUUGGGGGCUGCAACCCGCCCCCAUGAAGCCGGAAUUGCUAGUAAUCGCGGAUCAGCAUGCCGCGGUGAAUACGUUCCCGGGCCU